GCCCCUGUAGUUAAACGGAUAUAACGCCUGCCUUCUAAGCAGGGAUUCGAGGUUCGAUUCCUCGUGGGGGCA
Molecule: transfer RNA, 72 nt
Filed under: Patescibacteria group bacterium
Lineage: Bacteria
Description: tRNA-Arg
Rfam family: tRNA
About the family: Transfer RNA (tRNA) molecules are approximately 80 nucleotides in length.
Source: RNAcentral